GAUGAAGAACGUAGCGAAAUGCGAUAAGUAAUGUGAAUUGCAGAAUUCAGUGAAUCAUCGAAUCUUUGAACGCACCUUGCGCUCUUUGGUAUUCCGAAGAGCAUGCCUGUUUGAGUGUCAUGAAAAUAUCAACCUUGACUUGGGUUUUGUGCUCUAGUCUCGGCUUGGAAUUGGGUGCUUGCCGCUUUUACGAGCGGCUCACCUUAAAUGUAUUAGCUGGAUCUGUCUUUGAGCCUUGGUUUGACUUGGCGUAAUAAGUAUUUCGCUAAGGACAUUCUUCGGAGUGGCCUCGUUUCUAGGACGCUUGUCCGCUUUCCAAUACAAGUUCCACCUCGUGGACAUGACUUUUUAUUAUCUGGCCUCAAAUCAGGUAGGACUACUCGCUGAACUUAAGCAUAUCAAUAAGCGGAGGA
This 413-nucleotide unclassified non-coding RNA is filed under the name soil metagenome. RNAcentral's name for it is "partial contains 5.8S ribosomal RNA, internal transcribed spacer 2, and large subunit ribosomal RNA". The stretch from base 1 to 120 matches the Rfam family "5.8S ribosomal RNA", at positions 35 to 154 of the family's 154-position model. The record is from RNAcentral.